AUGCCGGAUGGGAUUAAUGACACGUCCAUUGUCUUGAUUCCAAAGGUUCCCCAUCCAAAGGAGCUGAAGGACUUCCGACCCAUUAGUCUCUGUAAUGUCGUGUAUAAGAUAGUGUCCAAGUGUAUGCUAAACAGGCUUCGGCCUCUGCUCUCAGAACUUAUCUCGGAGAAUCAAAGUGCCUUCAUCCCGGGAAGG
Molecule: ribosomal RNA, 195 nt
Filed under: Triticum aestivum (bread wheat)
Lineage: Eukaryota; Viridiplantae; Streptophyta; Magnoliopsida; Poales; Poaceae
Description: partial small subunit ribosomal RNA
Source: RNAcentral